RNAcentral lists this long non-coding RNA (741 nucleotides) under Micromonas pusilla. Its description in RNAcentral is "long non-coding RNA (MPUS_LNC000119)". Lineage: Eukaryota; Viridiplantae; Chlorophyta; Mamiellophyceae; Mamiellales; Mamiellaceae. The record is from RNAcentral.
UCUCGGCUCGGUGUCGUUCACGCCGCGGGCUGGACGGCUCUGCGGAACCGCCCGUAGUUGCGGUUAUCCGUCAGAUCGAACGGGUUAACCGCGUUCUCUUCCCAGUUCGCGUCGCGGCGGAACCGCCCGUAGUUGUUGUUGUCCGCAAGGUCGAACGGGUUGAACGCCUUCUCUUCCCAGUUGGCGUCGCGGCGGAAUCGACCGAAGUUGUUGUUGUCCGCGAGCGAAAACGGGUUCUUCCAGUCGAAACCCGACACGGGGGCCAUGUCUUCGGCGGCGGCGACGUCGGUCUCUUUCGCGCCGCGGCGGAACCGUCCGUAGUUGUUGUUGUUCUCGAGGUCGAACGGGUUGAACGCCUUCUCUUCCCAGUCCGCGUCGCGGCGGAACCGUCCGAAGUUGUUGUUGUCCGCGAGCGAGAACGGGUUCUUCAGAACGAAACCCGACACGGGGGCCAUGUCUUUGGCGGCGGUUUGCGGCUUCUCGCGGCGGAACCGCCCGACGUUCGCCUUCUGCGUCACCUGCCUCAGCGCCGCCGGGUCGCCUUUAACGAACCCGUCGUGCGAAAACUCGAGGCGCGCGUCGUCGUCGUUGCCGAGCUUGUGGAACCCGUAAUUGUUCAGCUCACGCUUGAAUCCGUUGAUGUUGACGCGCGCGGGGAACACCGGGAGGACGCCGACGAGCUUCUUCUCGAACGCUUUCGCGUCCUUGACGACGAAGGAUUUGCCGUCUUUGUUCCAGGAG